Molecule: ribosomal RNA, 253 nt
Filed under: uncultured bacterium
Lineage: Bacteria
Description: partial 16S ribosomal RNA
Rfam family: Bacterial small subunit ribosomal RNA
Source: RNAcentral
UACAGAGGUCUCAAGCGUUGUUCGGAUUCAUUGGGCGUAAAGCGCACGUAGGCGGCGCGGUAAGUCGGGUGUGAAAUCUCGGGGCUUAACUCCGAAACUGCAUUCGAUACUGCCGUGCUUGAGGACUGGAGAGGAGACUGGAAUUUACGGUGUAGCGGUGAAAUGCGUAGAUAUCGUAAGGAAGACCAGUGGCGAAGGCGGGUCUCUGGACAGUUCCUGACGCUGAGGCACGAAGGUCAGGGGAGCAAACGGG